GCUGGCUGUAUUAUAGUACCAAGACAAACAAAAUAAGAAGAUAUAGAUUAACAAGUGGUGAAAAGCAGACUGUCAAAGAGUCGGUCGAUGUAACUGGUUUGGGUAUAGAUGCUGAUAAGAAUCGUUUGUAUUGGAUGGAAUAUCAAAAAGGUGAUUUAGAAUCCUCUGAUCUCAAUGGAACAAAUGCUAUCAAAGUUGUCAGCACGAAUAAAACUAGAACAAACAUAGGCAUUAAUGUGUAUGGUAGCAAAAUAUAUUGCUCAAAUGGUAACCAAAUAUUGAAGGUCACAGUAACAUCAAUUACAAUGACAGAGGUCAUACACAAAGACACAGCUGGAAUCAAUAGUGUACUGUUUUAUUAUGGUAAGAAUCAACGUAUUGGAAAAAGGGUUAAAACAAAUUAUCUGACAUAUACGAUACCAUUUUUUUACACAAAAUUCAAUUUCACUAAUUGCAAAUGAUCAACAUAACAUCUAUCAAAAUAAUUCGCGUUUUAAAAAUCUAUAUGCAAAACGUUUCACUGUUUAGUGGAUAUAAAAAGCCUAAACAAUAGACUAAAAGUCAUCUUUCAUUUCAUAUUUGAAAGUUCCAAAAAUCCAUUGAAGGAUGAUACAUGUACAUGUUUUACAUGCAUUUGUCGAUAUUUAUCCAGACAAUAAAUCAAAUAUUUUACUGAUAAGAUUACCAGUACCAUACAUCAAAUGGGUGAAAAACUUGUUUUAACGAAUCAAUUCAUAUAUGGUUGAGUAAUUCUUUUAAUUUGAUAAUAUGACAUUUAUUAUGUAUAAUUAUUGAUGUCUUACGAUUGAGGAAUACAAUGUUUAAUUGUAUAUUAGUAAACAUGGUAAAUUAAACAACCACAUGCAUACCCACAAUGUAUAUUGCCCCUAUAUUAAGAUGAAUAUAUUAUAAUAAUGUUUGCAUCAAAUGUUUGAAUUAUUGACCUAAAUAUAUAAUGCAUAUAAUAUAUUUAUAUUAUUUAUACAAUUUUAUCUGCAACUUUUAUCUGUCAUUAGCUAAUGAUGUCCACCGUUUUUGUAUGAGUCAAUGUCACAAUAUUGGGUAAUAGUUAUGUACUGCUUGUGCUUUGCAACUAUUACCAAUGUUAUUUCAACUGAUCGGGCGGAGCUUUCGUUGUAAUUUGCAUAAGGACAGUCUAAUUGAAAUUGUGUGUUAUAAGGAUGAUUGCCGUUAUAAAUAUAACUGAUUUCUAAUCACCUAUCAGUGUCAUCAAAUGAAUUUACAAAAGAAUGACUGGACGAUUCAUUGAUGAGUUUAUUCUAAAACACCUAUCUAUAGAUGGACUGGUUUAUUAUGAGCGAACCAGUUGAACUCCGCCCAAACAAGUGAAAUAAAUUGAGUAAUAUAUGAUCAAUAUUAUCUCAUAGCUAUUAAUUCGCAUUACGUUAAAAGAUUGUCAACGUUAACUAACACUAGUAUCUAGCUUCGUGUAUUAUAUGCACUUUGGUUGUUACCAAUGUUCGUGGAAUGAGGAAACCUUGCAUUUUUAAGGAUAUCUAAUUUGACGUAAAUGGUAAGUCUGCAUACAAUCCUAUAGAAAAUUUGUAGUUCGUUAAACAUUAAAAAUUCGGGAUUUCUAUGUUUCAAUUAAAUACAAUCAAUAUUCGUUGUAAUGGAUGUCCAGAAUAUGAGGGAGCAGUCAUUUAUUCACGCUCAAAACUCAGACAUCAGGGGUUGAAGUCAUAAAACUUUGCUCAGUGCUCGAAGCACAAAAAUCAGGCUCCAAACCUAAAAUCCAACAUUUUGAUUGGUUAAUUUUGGAGUAUGAGUACAAAGGAAAAUUAGGUCAAAGUUUUAUGACUUCAAGACCAUAUAUGAGUAAUCAAUGAACAAAACAACCUAGCCAACUUAAAAGUACAACCGAAUAAACAUAUGCUACUUUGUGUACCUACACGGUGAUGUGAAUCAAUUUCCGGUAAAAAAGGGAAACAAUAAUAAUAAAUAAAAUAGACUGCAGAUCUUUGUUCUUUCGUAAAUCUAAUUUCGAGGGCAUUGACAAUGAACAUAAGUGGAAUGCUACAAUAAAGUUAAGAUGUUUUCUAGAUACCUAAUUCAAGUUAACAUCAAUCUUAUAUGUCAAGUUGUGUUAUACGUUUUUAAUGUUUGGUUUGACUUAUUUGAUAAGGUCAUAUUUGAAAUAAAACCUGUAUCCACUUUCUUUUUUAUCGAAUAAUAUUUUCCUGCAAACAAAAUAUACACCCCAUUAAGAAUGGUUUGCAAAUCAAAGAACGUCAUCUGAUGAAUUAUUGAUAUUUGAUUAUACAUAUUUUUAAAUUUGCACAUGUUAAUAUAAUGAUUUUAAACAAACAUAUGUUUUAUUAAUUUGAUAUAAUCAUAUUUCUUUUUUUCCUUAAGGACAUGAGUAAAAUUAAUGUAUAUAUAUAUAUAUGAGGUUUUUACAAACAUGAACUUAAUUAACUCUUCUUGUAUUCACAGGUGAGUAAUUCAAAACGUGUUAUAGAAACUAGCACAGCAAUGUUUAAAAGUACAUAUGCAUAACCAAAUUAUUGUUAUUUAAAUUUUUUUUUUUUUUUAAAUAUACACAUAUUUUUUACAAAUUGUAGCUUUGAUGGUGAUUUGUGUUACUAGCACUCAUACCAUAUAGUCUUAUAUCCACAGUUAAACUGAACACACUUUUUUCUUAUUGUUUUUCGCGCACAUUUGAUAAUUGCAAGUGUGGAUCAACAACAUAACAGCUUUUUAUCCGCAGACUAGACUUUACAAAGUAUAUCACAUUGCACAAACACUUGUCUACAAAAUAAUAAAGUAUAUUAUACACACAAUUAAAAUAUAGAGUAUCCAACGACGAAACAGAAUCAGUACAUUUUUUUUUAAUUAUAUGAAUAUAGAUAAAUAGAUAGAUAGAUAUAUAGAUAGAUAGAUACUUUAUUCUCUAAAAACAAGAUACAAGUGUACAGAGAAACAUACAAUAUAAAUACAGACAAGUGUUUACGUAAAUCCUGGUACCAGUAUUUUGAACAAAGACAUUUUUUUUUUAUUUGAAGGUUUUGCUUAACGUACCGGACUUACAGUUUUUUAAUUAACUUUCUGUUGAAUAUAUCCUACAUUAUAUGUCGGCAGUGGAAAUAAUUGAUCACUACUACACUUCUUGAACUUGAAAAUGAAUGGCACGAAAGAAGAACGUAUGGAUUUUAAACGACACAUUACAUUGUACAUGCGGUGAAGCCCAAUUUUGGAGUUAUCUCGUAUUUCAAACUUUUACCAAAAGAAUGGUUACAAGGACAUUCAUUAAUUUAAAGGAAACAUUUAAAGGAAAAAUAACAGAUAAUGAGAAUGCAAGAAUGAGUACCACAACACAUUUAUUAUACACACUAUUGACACAAUCGGACAAGCUUGGGAACGUAACACAGACUAUGAUGUUAAUAAUAAGUAUAUUCAACAGAGGACAUUCGAAAAUGUAAAUUGAGAUGACAUAUAUAUGCAUUAGCCAUACUGCUAGCGUAUUUGGGUCAAUGGUUUUAAUUACCAAUGCAGAAUAUAAGACAACUUGUGUUAAAAAAGUUCUAAAAGAAACUUGAACAAAAACAUUUACCGUCUUAAAAUGCAAAAGGCGAUUUAAGUAGGCUGUUUUCAGUGACCAAUACGUCAGAACGUGCAUGCAUUAAACAAAAAUGUGUGUGUUGACGUGAUGCGAUUUAAUUGUACCAUCUAAAAUAUAUUACAACUGAUAAACUAUAUUUUGUUGAAAAAAUUCUUGAUAUAGGAUUUAUAAAAGCAAUGUACUUUUAUAAUUAUUUAUUAAGUUCGAAAACAGGCAAUUCAUACGUUUUUCUUUCAUUAUUACAUGUUUGUGCAAUAUUGAAAGCUAAUUCGUAAAAAUGUACGCAUUAACUGCAUAAUACAUUUCUGUCAUUUGGUCUCUUGUGGAUAUUGUCUCAUUUGCAAUCAAACCACAUAUUUUUUUUUUUAUAUUUAAUCAAUUAAAAAUAAUCAUGAAUUUAUAAUUGAUAUAAUGUACCCUGCAUGACAUCAUCAUCCAUUGCAAAUACGGAUAGUCUCAUUAAAUGGAGAAGUUAUCAAACUUACUGUAACCGUUUAUACAUUUAUAUUGUUUGAGAAAGAUAGUACAGAUACAUACAUUUACAGUAAAUAAUAAUGUUUUAAGGUAGAUGGGGGGUCUAAUUUUUUAUCCAUAGAUUUUUUAUAUUUUUUCAGGAAAACUUAUUAGUGAUAUAUACUCUGAAAUUAUCAAAUAAAAAAGUGGGGUCACCAGUGUUCCAAGCUCAAAAUUUUGAUUUGAAAAUUUAAGGCAAAAUGAACAUUUUGACACAAAUUUCGUAUAGACUAUGAAGGAAAAAACGUUAUUUGAUACAUUAUUUGAAUCAAAAGUUGUAUUUCUGAUCCAUAGAACUUCCUUAUUUUGUGUUUUUGAAUUCUCCAAACAUUAAUUUAAAAGUUAAGAUAAAAAAAUGGUAGGUCACCGUCCAUAUAAGAAAGAUACAAGCUAAUUUUGACAAGAAAAUAGAUAAAAAAGGGAGUUAACUUUAAAUUCAUGAAUUGAAAAAAUUUGAAAAUAUUAUUUUUUUCUUGUUCAGAUUUUAAUUUGAUUCUUUAGAUACAGCAAUAGUAUUUGGUAUGCUAGUGUUUAAUAUUAAGAGGGUGAGUUAUGUACCACCGAGUCCGCUUUUUUUACUUGACCUUUGACCUCAAGGUCAAAUUAUUGAAAACUAUCUAAGUGUUAUAUUAUGAACUUGUAGUUAAUUGUCCGAGCCGUAAUAUUUUUGUCUUUUGAGAUAAAUCGAUGAUGUUUUGUGUGUUUUUGUAAAACCAACGGGACAGCUUGUUGUAUACCAUCAGGGAAGCUAGUAAUUUAGCCUUGACCUUUGGCUUCAAGGUUAAAUAAUUGACAUUUCUAGUAUGCAUGAUUGAUUGGAUGUCAAAACAUUUGUUUUCAUUGUUAUACAGAUUAAUAUGAAGUUUGUUAAGUACGUGUAAAAUCAAAGGAGGGUAGGUCGUCUGCUAUAACGACUGCAGUGUGACUUGACCUCUGAACCAAAGGUCAAUAAUUGAUAUUUUGUAUUUGUUGAGUUUGGAGGAUUUAUAUUUCAACAGACAGUCGGUAUUCCAAUGGGUACUAAUUGUGCACCCCUGCUGGCUGAUUUGUUUUUGUACUCGUAUGAAGCAGAAUUCAUUCAGAACCUUCUAAAAGACAAAAAGAAAAAGCACCUUGCGAAAUUCUUUAAUUUUACUUUCCGAUAUAUUGAUGAUGUUCUAUCAUUGAAUAACCCAUAUUUCAGCCAAUACUUACAUCUCAUAUAUCAACUGUGAACUUGAAAUUAAGGAUACCACUGAUACUAGAAAGACUGCUUCAUACCUUGAUCUUUUCCUCAAUAUUGACGUAGAUGGACGACUUCAAACGAAAAUCUAUGAUUAACGGGACGAUUUCAACUUCCCAAUUAUCAAUUUCCCAUUUCUCAGCAGUAACAUACCCUCUGCCCCUUCGUAUGGUGUUUACAUAUCACAAUUGAUACGUUAUUCUCGUGCUUGUUCACACUAUACGGACUUCAUAUACAGGAGUGUGCUCCUUACGCAGAAACUGCUCCAACAAAGUUAUGAGGAGGACAGAUUAAAAUUGACACUCCGUAAAUUUUAUGGACACCAUCACGAUUUGGUGGAUCCAUACGAUGUUUCGUUGACCAAACUAGCUAAGGACAUUUUUACCACAUGGUAGAUUGUGUUUUGUCAUAAUGUCGUCUAAUCUUUUAAUUACCAAACGUGACUUAUUCCCGAUUGUGACUGUUUUGCCGAGUGUGAACUCGCAUUACUAUAAGACGUGGUACGGUACUUAUCCAACCCAAAUUUAUGUAUUUAGUUUAAAUGUUUAAUGUUAUAUUUGUAAUUCUCAUCGGAUUUUGUCAAAUGUGUUGACGUCUUUUCUAUUAUAUGUAUGUGUUAUGGUAAAGAAAAUUAAUCACCGUCUUCAUUUAUAAGAUUUGAUUUCGUUCAAAGUAAUCAGUACGAUAUUUUACGUUUGAAGAUAGAUUCAUAGAAAACCGGACAUAGUUUUAUGAUAUAGUUAAUUGCUACCUCAGUUUUAUAUAAAUAAGAAUUAAAAUGUGCUUUGUUAUUAAAUGCAAUAUCAGUAUUUAGUUCAAAUAUAUAAUCUUAAAUUAAUCCUAAUUCUAUCUUAUUCAUUCUUAUGUGACGUCAUUUUUCAUUUUUUUAUGCUCUGUUUUACUAAUUCAAAUGACGUCAUUUUUUCGUCAUUUUUCAGUUUCAAAUAGGACGUCACUUGACGUAGAGGUUUAAACGUAUUCGGAUGUGUCUACUUUUGUGUUUCAAAUGUCUGGUUAUGUAAAUGUAUUUCAGUUGUUUCCUGUAAUUAGUUAAUACUUCAGCUUUAUCAUGUUCAUCUUUUGAAUAUUCAUUUUAUUAAAUUUACUGUUUGCAAAAGUAUAAAUUACUCUACAUUAUAGGGAUUUUCUGGUAACUUAACAGAAAACCCUUGCCGUUUUUGGCACAACCUUUUUGAUCUUUUGGUCCUCGAUGCUGUUCAACUUUGUACUCGUUUCGGUUUUCAAACUUUUGUAUCUGUGCAUCACACAUAGGUCUUGUGUGAACAAUAUACACUUCUGGCGUAUUAAAAUUUUGAACUUGUUGCCUUUUGUUGGCUGUUGUUCGUGUGAUUCUUUGUUAAUUGUGUUCUCCAAUUUAUUUAUAUUGUAGUCCUGUGUUGUCAUUUUGAUGUUAUAUUUCACGUGGCCAUAAAAGUGCGAGGUUUGGCAUGCCACAAAACCAGGUUCAACCCACCAUUUUUUCCUUUAAAAAUGCCCUGUACCAAGUCAGGAAUAUGGUCAUUGUUAUAUUAUAGUUCGUUUCUGUGUGUAUUACAUUAUAACGUUGUGUCGUUUGUUUUCUCUUAUUUUUGAGUGUAAAUUCACAUUGCGAUAAGACGUGUCACGGUACUUGUCUAUCCCAAACUCAUGUAUUUGGUUUUGAUGUUAUAUAUAUAUUAUUCUCGUGGGAUUUUGUCUAUGUGUGUUACAUUUUAGUGUUAUGUCGUUGUUCUCCUCUUAUAUUUAAUGCGUUUCCCUCGGUUUUAGUUUGUUAUCCCGAUUUUGUUUUUUUGUCCAUGGAUUUAUGAGUUUUGAACAGCGGUAUACUACUGUUGC
Molecule: long non-coding RNA, 7154 nt
Organism: Mytilus trossulus (common blue mussel)
Lineage: Eukaryota; Metazoa; Mollusca; Bivalvia; Mytilida; Mytilidae
Exons: 3
Source: RefSeq, a predicted model, not a curated record